UCGUCAGGUAUGUUGUAUAAAAAAGGUUUAUUUUAUUUAAUGUGAGACAUGAUCCCCGCCCUUUUGUCAUGUUGUCCUGCGGGAGAGGACUUGGAGCGGGCAGCUUGUAACUAUUGUUUUUCUGUUGGAUAUUUUCGUCAGAAUAAAUCUUUGAAAGCCAAACAGAGUCACGGCCUGACUAACAUCUGAUAACCAGCACAACGCAGAAGGGAUCCGGUUACACUAAGAUGGCCGAGUCAAUCUCCAGGCGUUGAUCCAAGAGAGAAUCUGCGGCAAAACUUGAAGACUGGUUGACGUCCGCCAUCGAAUCAGUAGAAAAGAGGCGGAGAAAAUGUCACUGUGUCUGUAAAGCUGUUUGGAGUCAGACGCAGAAUGACUCCAGACGUUUGCUCCACAAACAGUUGAAUAAUGAGGGACAAAAACAAUUUUACACCAAAAAAAUGUAAAAAAAAAAUCUGAAUAUAUAGCUACCCACCAGACUGUUUUGGUCUAUCACAUAUAAAAUCCUAAUGAGGUACAUGGAAGUUUGCGGACGUAGCACAGCAAAAAGCCGAAGGACGUGAAUACUCUCGCGUGUCGCCACGGCAAAUAAAAACACAGUUUGACAUUUAGAAGUACAGCGCUUGUUGGCUCGUCCAAACAAAAGCAGAGAAAGAGAAAGCUGCAGGAAGCGCUUCGCCUGGGACAAUGGUUGCAGAAUAAAAGCAAAGCUGAAGUACUGGUUUUUACAAAAGGUGUAAAAAUAGCUGCAGAACUAAUGGCUUGAAUCAGAAAAUAAAAGUACUGCAGGAGAACAAGCUCUUUCCCUUUGUACUAAAUAAUCUUGGUGAGAUUUACCUUUACAUUUUCGACACAAAGGCAAGUAGAAAGCCAGCAAAGCAUCUCCUGUGACUGUGUCUGUUUUGUUUUGUUUUGGAGCAGUUUAACUUUCUCUCAGCCCAUAAAUCCACAAUAUUAGGUGCAGUUUUGAGACCAAGAAUUUCCUCCAUAAAAAAAAUAAAGAAAUACAUGUGUGUAUAUAUAAACAACUAAAACAGCAGCCUGAAGCUGUGUCUGCUGCUUCGCUUGCCUUAACUCUGUCUGACCAGCACCGUUGUCACCAGGACCCAGUGGAGCUGCUUCCUCCACGCCGUACAAAGACACAGCAGUGCUCCGGCGGGAAGCGGCCGCAUCUAAAGUCAACAUGGCGGCCGCGUUCCCAGGCUUUGGAAAUUAAAAGGCGUAAUUAGGACUGCUGACAUCUGAUGGCCGAGCUGCAGGACGGGAUAUCAAUAUGGCAGCAUGUUUGUCUACAGGCUUCCUUGGAGAGGCGGGGUUCACCCUGGACAGGUCGCCAGUCCGUCGCAGGGCAACACAGAGACAGGACAAACAACCACACCUAAGGAGAAUUGAGAGAGCUCAAUCAACCUGACAGUCUUGGUUUUGGACUGUGGGAGGAAGCCGGAGUACCCGGAGAGAACCCACAGCAUGCACAGGGAGAACAUGCAAACUCCAUGCAGAAAGACCCUGGGUCGGGACUCGAACCCAGGACCUUGUGUUUUAAAUUUUGUUAUGAAAUGUGGUGAAAUUGAGCUUGUGUCCAGUUUGUGUGCGGUCUGCAGAGAUUUCAGCUACUCUGUGGAAGCGCUGUGUGGAGGGAAGGUCCGCCCUGGCAAUCAUCUCUGCAGGCCUAAUUUGCUCGUUGUUGUAUGGACCCGACACGUUUUGUGGAACGAGCCAAACCACACGGCGACGGACGGGAACAGGAGAGACUGAAUAAUUGGCAGCGUAGACGAUGACCAGCUGCUCCUGUGGGACGUUGUAAUUCAUAAAGGAUGCGCAGUCCACAAUGUGAGGAUCAUCUCCGUUGGGUUAUAGAUUGGACUUUUUCUACCCUUUUAAUAAAUGAAACAUUCGUUUAAAAAUCUACA
Molecule: long non-coding RNA, 1910 nt
Organism: Xiphophorus maculatus (southern platyfish)
Lineage: Eukaryota; Metazoa; Chordata; Actinopteri; Cyprinodontiformes; Poeciliidae
Exons: 3
Source: RefSeq, a predicted model, not a curated record